This 1078-nucleotide long non-coding RNA is filed under the name Setaria viridis. Its description in RNAcentral is "long non-coding RNA (SVIR_LNC001141)". The record is from RNAcentral. Lineage: Eukaryota; Viridiplantae; Streptophyta; Magnoliopsida; Poales; Poaceae.
CGUUAAGGUUGGGUGCUCCGGUGAUGACCAAAUUUACCUUCAAUGUCGUUCCAAUUCCUGAAAGCGGCUCCUGUGAGAUGCUGCACACCGUGUGGAGAUGAAGAGACAUCUGAGGAGCUUAGUUCGUUUUUUAAAUAGAUUAACGCUUUGAGAAUUCUUGUUUGUUAGUUUCUUCUUUUGCGCUGCACUGAAUCUGCUUUGAUAAGGCUCUUUACUCCUGUGAUGACUGAAUUUACAUCCUAUAUCGUUCCAAUUCCUGAAAGCAGCUCCUGUGAGAUGCUGCACAUCAUGUAGAGAUGAAGAGACAUCUGAGGAGCCUAGUUAAUUAUUAUUUUUUUGGGAAACUUUUUGUUUGUCAGUUUCCUUUGAUAUCGUUUGUUCAGUUUUCAAACUAUUUUUUUUUAUGUCGAAGUUUGGUUCCAUUUGAUGAUGCAAACAGGUCUAAAGCUUUAAGGCCUGUUUGCACUGUAGAAAUUCACAGAAAUCUUAUAGGAAACAACACUUGCCUUUUGGUUUUCCUGUGAGUGCUGUUGAAACUUUGCUUUGCUAUUUGGGUGCAACGUUCAAACAUUUAUGAGUGAUUGGGACAAACCACAGUGUGGAUUCAUGCUGUUAGUUCAUCAAUAGAAACACCAGAUGUUUAAAAGUUUGGGGACGCAGUAUUAUUUCUUAUAUAAUCCAUUGCUAUAUAUUGUUUACAUGUUUGUCUUUUUUAAAGCUUCAGUUCCUCAUUUGAGAGACCAGCAUUUUAUUGUUGCAGAUGAGGGCAGAUUAUGAUAAACAACACAAACCUGCAGAUGUCUUUUGCAGUCCUCCAUCGGAGGCUAGGUCGUGAGUCAUGAUGCAAGGUGCGGAGAUAAGUUUGAAGCUGGAAAACGUAUGCCUGCUUAAUUGAUCUCAAUCACAGCCCACUCAAGUACUAGUCCUGGUUCGACAGUUUACACACAGUGCUUGCUGAAUCCAUGUGAUGCAGCUCCAGGAAGUAAUGUGAACCACAGAUAUUUUCAGAAGAGCAUGAUUACAGCGUAUGUUUAAUUUCUUUUUACUAGCGCUGUCUUGAUUUUAUCAUUUUAUUAAU